Long non-coding RNA from Antechinus flavipes (yellow-footed antechinus), 787 nucleotides. RefSeq lists it as uncharacterized. The transcript is spliced from 2 exons. NCBI's taxonomy places the organism in Eukaryota, Metazoa, Chordata, Mammalia, Dasyuromorphia, Dasyuridae. The record is from RefSeq and is a predicted model, not a curated record.
GUUCGGCCAGAGAAUGCGUUUGCAAGGAGGAAAUGGCGUCCAUCGCGCGUGCGCACAAGCAAGACAGACAAGUGAACCUCCUCCCCCUAAUCAGGAAGACUAUUUAUUCAUGAGCCCCGCCUCCUCCACCCCAUCCCCGGAUGGAAAGUAAGCUGCACAUGCCCACGGAGAAAGUAACUGGACCACACCGGCUCGGGACUGCCAGUACUGGACCUGUAUUCCAUCCGUCGAUUAUUUCUUAAGUGAUAAGCUCUGUACAGAAGACAGGAGAAAACAGAAGGAUCAGAGGCCUCUUAGGGAGUAGCAAAGCCCAGAAAGGAGCUUCAGAAAAAAUAAAGCAAGUGCACACAUAAAUCAGUCAGCCCAAAGAGGCAAGAAUGAGGGAGAGAAUUGGCCUACACAACAUCAAGACUGAUACAUCUAUAAGGAGCUGCCGGAGGAAACUCAAGGGUCAGCUCUUCUCAUUCAUGCAAUAGGAGAGGUCUGGAACACACCAGUGAGUCAGCAAAUCAAUGAUUUAUCCCUGGCUGUUUUGGGAGGCAGUCUCUCAAUUGUACUCAGAUGGGCUGAAAAUUUCAUCCUGUUUUUCUGAGCAACAAACGUCCUACAGUAACCAGAACAGGAGUCAGGAUGCAGUCAAUACACCAAUCUGUCUUAUGCCUUAGUUACAAAUUCACUUUCAGUGAGAAUCAAAAAUGCCAUAUUACCAAAAGUUUAAGAGUUCUCCAUUUCUUUUUUUGUUAUUUGUUUUGCAAAUAAACUCAUGGAAAACAAGUGAGGAAAACAA